GACGAACGCUGGCGGCGUGCUUAACACAUGCAAGUCGAACGGAAAGGCCCUGCUUUUGUGGGGUGCUCGAGUGGCGAACGGAUGAGUAACACGUGAGUAACCUGCCCUUGACUUUGGGAUAACUUCAGGAAACUGGGGCUAAUACCGGAUAGGAGCUCCUGCUGCAUGGUGGGGGUUGGAAAGUUUCGGCGGUUGGGGAUGGACUCGCGGCUUAUCAGCUUGUUGGUGGGGUAGUGGCUUACCAAGGCUUUGACGGGUAGCCGGCCUGAGAGGGUGACCGGCCACAUUGGGACUGAGAUACGGCCCAGAGUCCUACGGGAGGCAGCAGUGGGGAAUAUUGCACAAUGGGCGGAAGCCUGAUGCAGCAACGCCGCGUGCGGGAUGACGGCCUUCGGGUUGUAAACCGCUUUCGCCUGUGACGAAGCGUGAGUGACGGUAAUGGGUAAAGAAGCACCGGCUAACUACGUG
Molecule: ribosomal RNA, 468 nt
Filed under: uncultured bacterium
Lineage: Bacteria
Description: partial 16S ribosomal RNA
Rfam family: Bacterial small subunit ribosomal RNA
Source: RNAcentral